Molecule: ribosomal RNA, 274 nt
Filed under: uncultured bacterium
Lineage: Bacteria
Description: partial 16S ribosomal RNA
Rfam family: Archaeal small subunit ribosomal RNA
Source: RNAcentral
AAACCAGCACCUCAAGUGGUCAGGAGGGUUAUUGGGCCUAAAGCAUCCGUAGCCUGCUUUGUAAGUUUUCGGUUAAAUCCAUAUGCUCAACAUAUGGGCUGCCGGGAAUACUGCACAACUAGGGAGUGAGAGAGGUAGACGGUAUUCGGUAGGAAGGGGUAAAAUCCUUUGAUCUAUUGAGGACCACCUGUGGCGAAGGCGGUCUACCAGAACACGUUCGACGGUGAGGGAUGAAAGCUGGGGGAGCAAACCGAAUUAGAAACCCGAGUAGUCC